RNAcentral lists this transfer RNA (86 nucleotides) under Acidobacteriota bacterium. RNAcentral's name for it is "Acidobacteria bacterium tRNA-Leu". It matches the Rfam family "tRNA". Rfam says of the family: Transfer RNA (tRNA) molecules are approximately 80 nucleotides in length. Their secondary structure includes four short double-helical elements and three loops (D, anti-codon, and T loops). The record is from RNAcentral. Lineage: Bacteria; Pseudomonadati; Acidobacteriota. RNAcentral also lists the same sequence under 1 other name.
GCCCGGAUGGCGGAAUUGGUAGACGCAAGGGACUUAAAAUCCCUCGGGGUUUCCCCGUGCCGGUUCGAUCCCGGCUCCGGGCACCA